RNAcentral lists this ribosomal RNA (95 nucleotides) under uncultured bacterium. RNAcentral's name for it is "partial 16S ribosomal RNA". It matches the Rfam family "Bacterial small subunit ribosomal RNA", at positions 1388 to 1482 of the family's 1533-position model. The record is from RNAcentral.
CACCGCCCGUCACAUCACGAAAGUCAGUUGCUCUUGAAGUCGCCAGGUCAACCGAAAGGAGACCAGCGCCGACGGAGUGGCUGGCGAUUGGGGUG